Parasteatoda tepidariorum (common house spider) is the source of this 751-nucleotide long non-coding RNA. NCBI's taxonomy places the organism in Eukaryota, Metazoa, Arthropoda, Arachnida, Araneae, Theridiidae. The record is from RefSeq and is a predicted model, not a curated record.
AGGUUAUUGCGUGGAACAGGUCAGCAAGAAGGCGUGGCCAACCCCUAGGCUAAAGAUUUGAUCGGGUAUAUAGGGGUGAAGUGUUCUAAUUAAAUAUUCAGAAGCUGAGUUUUCUUCAUCAGUUAUUGCUCCUCUCUAAAUAAUGAAAGUUUUGGUGUUACUGUCUAUGGCUACAUUAGCCUGUGCUUCUAUCUAUGAAGCACCCCACCACAAAUCAGUGGUUUUAACGGAAUCCGACUUAGAACUGCAUCCAGUCUCUGUAUCUCACUAUCCUGUAAAAUAUCAUCCAGUAUUAUCCGUACAGAGCGUCCAUCAUCCUGCCGUGUUGGAUCACUAUCCAGUUCAGAAAUACACUGUACACCGCCCCCAUGGUUUAUACCAUGGUCCUCAUGGAGUUGGCCCCUAUGACCCUAAGCUUCAUGAUGAACUAGAACAAGCUUACUACAGAGGUUAAAAAGGAACUUCAACUAGCCAAGAAAGUUUCUUUGUCAUUGUUUAAAUUGUGUAUAUGUAUAUUCUUCCAUUUCCAUUUCUUGUAAGCAUUGAACAAAACCCUUUGAAAUUAUAGUACAUGUAUUAAUUUUAUUUUUAAAAGAUUACCACCUUAUUUAUUUUAAUUCAAUAUAGUAAUAUUUAUAUUUAUUUGGUGCUUUGUUAUAGCACAAUGUAAUUAACACUGCUUUAAAGAUGUAAAUUAUUUGUAAAUUUCUUUCUAUAAACAUAGGGAAAAUAUUUAUUUUAAAUUGCUAUA